Myodes glareolus (Bank vole) is the source of this 1208-nucleotide long non-coding RNA. RefSeq lists it as uncharacterized. The record is from RefSeq and is a predicted model, not a curated record. Lineage: Eukaryota; Metazoa; Chordata; Mammalia; Rodentia; Cricetidae.
AACGAUCAGUUCUCGUGCCCGCCUGCUGCUGUUGGUUUAACGAACGUCAGAGCUGUGUGAAGUCGGUUCCUGGGGUACCAGUUGUCCCUGCAGUUGGCACCAGGCUUCACCCUUUCCGUCCCCUUAGCGUGAGAUUCCAAAGGAAAUGCCAGUGUUUUGGGGGGUCCAUUGUUUCAAUAGUCUCACGGCCAGAGGGAGGGACACACCCGCGGCAGUAUAGAAGGGCAGCUUGCGGGAGUGUGUUCUCUCCUUUCGCCGCGCCUGUCCCUGGGAUUACAAUGAGGUCAUCAGGUUUGGUGGCCUUUACCUGCCACCUCACCGGCAGGGAGGUUUAUUGAGGCGCAGGGGGUCAUUCUACUUGCCUGAUUCCCCGGGGGUGGGGAUGACUUUCGCUUGACCUCAGCUUGUCGCUUCAAUCUGAUUAGAAAACCGAAGAACGCUCCCGAGGCUCCAGAAUCCAGAGGCGGCUGCCUCAAAGAGGCUCCUGGGAGGUCUCUCAUUGCUAGCCCAAUGGGAUGGUAUGGAGCAGAGAAAAGAGAAACCUUUGAAGUGGAAGUCUCUCGCACUAAUGGCAUAAUUACUCCAGGAAACCAUUUACAAACAAAAAUGAAUUCAGACGUCUCCAAGCCCCAUGGGCAUCCGCAGCGUUCUCUGGCUCGGUAUGUUUCUGGUAUUAAAAUGCAUUUUCGAGAAACGCUGGUUGUAGCCUUUGCCCAGAUCCAUCUCUCCCUCCCCCACAACGAGGAUAAGGGGGCUUUAAAGGCUGUGUUGUUGAAGUCAUGAGAGCACAAGACUCUCCUUGUUGGAAGGUUCUGGAACAGCUUUGUCCAGCUUUCCCAGCCCAAGCCUGACUUCCUUCCUUCUAUGUCCGCUCUCUGGAGAUGCCCAUGAGAUACUGACUUUCCUCAGAGUCCUUGAGCCCCGAGGCUACCUAGCCCAUUGCCUCCCUUCAGCGAGCUAAUGGAGAUACAUAUUGCAAUAUUAACUUUUAAAAUUCCAUAUUAUCACUCUGUUGGGAUAAAUGAGGUGUGUAGAAAAACCCGUAACACCGCAUUAGCUUCUGUCUUUGGGUAGCACAUCUGCUCCCUCCAGAUGAAAUCCUCAGAGCCAUAAAGAAAGGGAAGGGCCAAGGCAGAGAGCACCCUUCCUCAGGAGUCUGAGUUUCUGGCUGACGUGGAACAGUUGACAUUUGGCUGGAGGGGUUUCAA